ACAAAUUGAACACGGAGUGAACGAUGCACUGAACAAUGAAACAAAAUAAGCUAAAAUUGAGGUGGCACGUAGUGGAACCUUGUUUGGAGCAGAUAUGGAAAGUUAGGUCAACAGAGAAGUGGAGAAACAUUAAUGAAAGAAAUAAAAAUGAUAGAAUAAAGCAUGUAGCUUAGGCUGUAGCAUAAAAACAGAAAGUAGAAAGACUUUUGGUCUUCUUUCCAUUUUUGGCCCUCCAACCAAAUCAAACAAACAUCCCCCAAUCGAAGUGCUAUCACGUGCCCUUUCUUUUGCCCGUCCAUCUCCUUUCAAUAUCCAAAAUUUCCAUAAAACUAAACCUUCAUCUUCAUCUUGUUUGAGAGAGAGAGAUGGAUCCACCACAGGUACAAGCCAUAGACACCUCCAGCAAAAGCUAUCCCCCAAUUGAAGACGAGCAAGACAAAAUAGUCGACCAAUGGUAUAUUAUUCCAACUUCCCCUGUUUUGCUCCUUUCUACUUAGUACUAUUAUUCUGUUCUAUAUUUUCUUACUGUUUUAAUUAGACCGAUUUGGUUUACUCUAAUCUUUUUAUUGUGUUUCUGCAGUUGUUCUUGCUUUUACGACUGUACUGAUAGCCUUUUGGAGUACUUGUGCUGCUAUGAUUUCUGGUGUUCCUAGGGAUACAAUUUUUCCAAAAGGGAACUUGUUAGAUGAACUAAUUAUGUUCUUUCGCUUUUGGUUAGCUUUAUUUUGCAGUACAUUACUCGAGUAACAUUAAAAAAAUUAUAAUGAGAUUAUCGUUGGCUUCUUAUUAGGUUAUAGUGGUCUUUUUCCAAUUAUAUGCCUAUGGUUCAUAAACUUAUAUGCUAGAAAGAAUUUGAACCCUUUUUGAUCGUGCAUUAAUCAAUUUUGAUAAUUAAAGAGGCAUUGGUUCUUUCAGCACAUUUCUGAUAAAAAGUUUGUGUUUCAGUUGUGAGCCUUAAUAGAUAAAGUAAAGGGAAGUUGACAAAUGAUAACUAGUCAUAAAUUAUUGAAGAAUGGUCAGGUAUUUUCUCCCUUCUGCCUAGUGCCCAGGGAUACUGGUCUGUACAUCCAUUGGCAUUCUGGCCUAAAGUGGGUUUCCCACUGUUGGUGGAGCCCUAUAUACCACUUUCUUUGGGCAUUUGCAUCUAUAUCCGCCUUUUGUGUCACGGUUUAAUUUGUGUCCGCUUUGCAAAAAAAAUUGCAAGCGUACCUAUUUUUUUGCAUAACUUCAGCAUACGAGGCUGAAGUAGCAAAAACAAUCAUGCAAAACUUCAGCAUUCUAGUAGACGAGCCUAAAGUAGCAAGUGUGCUGAAGUUUUUGUUUUGUAACUGGCGAACUUCAGCUCUUUUAUUUUUGUAAUUGACGAACUUUUGUAACUCGCGAACUCAGCUGAAGUUUUUGUUUUUGUAACUGGCG
This 1416-nucleotide long non-coding RNA is filed under the name Nicotiana tabacum (common tobacco). Its description in RNAcentral is "long non-coding RNA (NTAB_LNC015636)". The record is from RNAcentral. Lineage: Eukaryota; Viridiplantae; Streptophyta; Magnoliopsida; Solanales; Solanaceae.